This 68-nucleotide transfer RNA is filed under the name Merluccius polli (Benguela hake). RNAcentral's name for it is "tRNA-Gly". Lineage: Eukaryota; Metazoa; Chordata; Actinopteri; Gadiformes; Merlucciidae. The record is from RNAcentral.
GGAUAGUUUUGUGGUCAGGUUGUUUGACUCCCAGCCGAAAGGUUCUGGGUUCGAUCCCCAGGCAUCCA